RNAcentral lists this ribosomal RNA (455 nucleotides) under uncultured bacterium. RNAcentral's name for it is "bacterial SSU rRNA". It matches the Rfam family "Bacterial small subunit ribosomal RNA", at positions 340 to 786 of the family's 1533-position model. The record is from RNAcentral.
UACGGAAGGCAGCAGCGGGGAAUAUUGCACAAUGGGCGCAAGCCUGAUGCAGCCAUGCCGCGUGUAUGAAAAAGGCCUUCGGGUUGUAAAGUACUUUCAGUCGUGAGGAAGGUGUUAAGGUUAAUAACCUUAGCAAUUGACGUUAGCGACAGAAGAAGCACCGGCUAACUCCGUGCCAGCAGCCGCGGUAAUACGGAGGGUGCGAGCGUUAAUCGGAAUUACUGGGCGUAAAGGGCACGCAGGCGGUUAAUUAAGUUGGAUGUGAAAUCCCCGGGCUUAACCUGGGAAUGGCAUUCAAGACUGGUUAGCUAGAGUCUUGUAGAGGGGGGUUAGAAUUCCAUGUGUAGCGGUGAAAUGCGUAGAGAUGUGGAGGAAUACCGGUGGCGAAGGCGGCCCCUGGACAAAGACUGACGCUCAUGUGCGAAAGCGUGGGGAGCAAACAGGGAUUAGAUACC